UUUAUAAAGUUAUCACCAAGAAAUUCAAUAUUAACUUAUGCUAUUUUAGGACCAAUUCAGAUUCUGCCCUUCAUCAGAGUGCUAUGAACCCCCAAGACAACUAUCAUGGUGCCAAUACACCUCCUAAUAACAGGACAUUUGAAGUUGAUAGAGUACUAUUGCACGAAAAUGAUCAAGUUAACAGUUAUUGGGAC
Parasteatoda tepidariorum (common house spider) is the source of this 194-nucleotide non-coding RNA. The record is from RefSeq and is a predicted model, not a curated record. NCBI's taxonomy places the organism in Eukaryota, Metazoa, Arthropoda, Arachnida, Araneae, Theridiidae.